This 496-nucleotide ribosomal RNA is filed under the name uncultured bacterium. Its description in RNAcentral is "bacterial SSU rRNA". It matches the Rfam family "Bacterial small subunit ribosomal RNA", at positions 30 to 507 of the family's 1533-position model. The record is from RNAcentral.
AUUGAACGCUGGCGGAACGCUUUACACAUGCAAGUCGAACGGUAACGUGGGGAGGAGCUUGCUCCACCCCGACGACGAGUGGCGAACGGGUGAGUAAUACAUCGGAACGUGUCCGCUUGUGGGGGACAACCAGCCGAAAGGUUGGCUAAUACCGCAUGAGUUCUACGGAAGAAAGAGGGGGACCCGCAAGGGCCUCUCGCGAGCGGAGCGGCCGAUGACUGAUUAGCCGGUUGGUGAGGUAACGGCUCACCAAAGCAACGAUCAGUAGCUGGUCUGAGAGGACGACCAGCCACACUGGGACUGAGACACGGCCCAGACUCCUACGGGAGGCAGCAGUGGGGAAUUUUGGACAAUGGGCGCAAGCCUGAUCCAGCUAUUCCGCGUGUGGGAUGAAGGCCCUCGGGUUGUAAACCACUUUUGUAGAGAACGAAAAGACACCAUCGAAUAAAUGGUGUUGCUGACGGUACUCUAAGAAUAAGCACCGGCUAACUACGUG